CCCUUUCCCCUCUCUCUCUCUCUCUCUCUCUCUCUCUCUCGAAUUAGGGUUUUUGCGAUCCCAACUCCUCUCCUCACUCGUAUGCUAGGGCUCUAGAACGGGGGAGGGAGAAGGAGCUCACGAUGAGCGGCAAUGGCGGUGCCCUCACCUUCGCCUACUACGUCACCGGCCACGGAUUCGGCCACGCCACCCGCGUCGUCGAGGUAGUUCGGUUCAGUUGGCGAUCUCCCAUACGUUGUNUAUGUGUAUUAAUACAUUAAUAAUUAAUAAUAAUAGAGACCCAAGUUCGAAUCCUAAUUGAUUCACAUUUCUAGCUAAGUUUAUUACUAAAUGAAAUAAACGAAGCGGGUAUCGUGCUAUCUAUAUCUCAAAAAUAAUAAUAAUAAUAAUAAUAAUUAUAGGAAUCCACAAUGUUUCCUUAUCCAAAUAUCCAUUUCAUAUCACUCUCUCACGCUAUAGAACAAAAUAACUAUCCAUGCAACUCCCCCAUUACACACGGAUUUUUUUUUCAAAACGAUCCUAUAAAAUUUUCUAAUUAAGUAAAUAACACUACAAAAAAAAAUAUACAUACUAAAUUUUCUUUUGCCAUGUAGAACUUUUGAAUUUUUUCUAAUUUUUCACAAAAUCGAUAAAUUAUUUACCGUCUUUCGCUUAUUUACUAUUUUUUUCUUUUUUCCAUAUGUAACUCUAACAGCUUUAUAAAAAUUUUAACAAAUCAUAUAUAAUUUUAACAAUCUCAAAAUCGUAAAAAUCUAUUCAUACAAUUUUAACAAUCAAAUAAAAAUUUUAAUAAUUUACCUAUAAUCCUAACAAUUUCUUCUUUUUUUUUUAUUUUCUGUACAAUUCUAACCAUGACGAAGACGGUGAAUCGUUAAAUGCAGUGAACGAUCCACCGCCUUUAAAAAGCUGAGAGAUUUUCAGAAUGUGGUGGAUAAUUUACGGCGUCUUGAUACAUGGUGAAGAGAUAAUUAGUUUGUCAAACACAAAUUUUAUAGGAUUAUUUUGCAAAUUAUAAAAUUUUAGAGGAUUAUUUUGUGAAAAAGUCCGCACACACACUCUCAUAAUCCCCAUCAUCAUCAUCAUCAUAUAUACACGGGCUUUUUUUGCAUUUAGCCCUCUGAAAAAAAAAUUAUUUUAAAAAUAGCCCCAGCAAAUUUAUAUUUGCAAAAAUAACUCUAGUACUGCCACGCAGGCGCCAUGUCACCGCCACGUGAGCGGAGCUGAGGCCAGUUUAUUAAGUUGAACACGGUGAACUAUUCACCAUGUCUAAACCUAUAUAUUGUGAAAAAAAUAUAAGAAAAAUAAAAAGGAGAAAGAAGGGAAUAUAGGUAUGAAAUACGGUGAACCAUUCACCGUGUUUGAACAAGAUGAUUGAUUCACUGUGUUCAACUUAAAACCAUGGCGCUAAUAUGGCGCCUGCGUGGCGGGGAUAGGGCCAAAUUUGUAAUUAUAAAUUUGAUGGGGUAUUUAUAAAAAAAAUAUUUUGAGGGGGUCAAAUGCAAAAAAAGCCCUAUAUACACGUUGGGAAGUUACCGGGUACAUUUGCCGCUCCGCACACCCUCUAACUCCUCGCCUCGUGAUUCGCGCCGUGAUUGAUUGGUCAACGCCUUUGACUCUUCCUCUCGUCCCCGUCCCAUCUCUCACACUUCCACUGCGACCGCACGUGAAAACGGUUACAACCCCGCCCACCACCAAUUCGAAGAUGUCGCAAACCUGCCCCCAUUUCCUCUCUCUCUCUCUCUCGCCUCGAAUUAGGGUUUUUGCGAUCCCAACUCCUCUCCUCACUCGCAUGCUAGGGCUCUAGAACGGGGGAGGGAGAAGGAGCUCACGAUGAGCGGCAAUGGCGGUGCCCUCACCUUCGCCUACUACGUCACCGGCCACGGAUUCGGCCACGCCACCCGCGUCGUCG
RNAcentral lists this long non-coding RNA (1909 nucleotides) under Ananas comosus (pineapple). Its description in RNAcentral is "long non-coding RNA (ACOM_LNC020282)". Lineage: Eukaryota; Viridiplantae; Streptophyta; Magnoliopsida; Poales; Bromeliaceae. The record is from RNAcentral.